UCGGGUGUCGCAGAUGUAUAAUCAUGCAGUCGUACAGGUAGCCGUAAUGACGUGCUUGCACUGAUUUCAACAAUGAAGCGAGUGGCGAACUGGUGAGUAACACGUGGGAAAUCUGCCCAGAAGCAGGGGAUAACACUUGGAAACAGGUGCUAAUACCGUAUAACAAUAAAAUCCGCAUGGAUUUUGUUUGAAAGGUGGCUUCGGCUAUCACUUCUGGAUGAUCCCGCGGCGUAUUAGUUAGUUGGUGAGGUAAAGGCCCACCAAGACGAUGAUACGUAGCCGACCUGAGAGGGUAAUCGGCCACAUUGGGACUGAGACACGGCCCAAACUCCUACGGGAGGCAGCAGUAGGGAAUCUUCCACAAUGGACGAAAGUCUGAUGGAGCAAUGCCGCGUGAGUGAAGAAGGGUUUCGGCUCGUAAAACUCUGUUGUUAAAGAAGAACACCUUUGAGAGUAACUGUUCAAGGGUUGACGGUCUUUAACCAGAAAGCCACGGCUAACUACGUGCCAGCAGCCGCGGUAAUACGUAUGUGGCAAGCGUUGUCCGGAUUUAUUGGGCGUAAAGCGAGCGCAUGCGGUUUUUUAAGUCUGAUGUGAAAGCCUUCGGCUUAACCGGAGAAGUGCUUCGGAACUGGUAGACUUGAGUGCAGAAGAGGACAGUGGAACUCCAUGUGUAGCGGUGUAAUGCGUAUAUAUAUGGAAGAACACCAGUGGCUAAGGCGGCUGUCUAGUCUGUAACUGACGCUGAGGCUCGAAAGCAUGGGUAGCGAACAGGAUUAGAUACCCUGGUAGUCUCUGCCGUAAACGAUGAGUGCUAAGUGUUUGAGGUUUCCGCCCUUCAGUGCUUGCACUUAACGCUUAUGCACUCCGUCUGGGAGUACGAUCCGCAGGUUGAUACUCAAAGGAUUUGACGGGCGCCCGCUCAAUUGGUGGAUCAUGUUGUUUAAUUUCGAAGUAUGUGAAGAACCUUUACUAGGUUUGGACUCUUCUGUCAU
Molecule: ribosomal RNA, 995 nt
Filed under: Levilactobacillus brevis
Lineage: Bacteria; Bacillati; Bacillota; Bacilli; Lactobacillales; Lactobacillaceae
Description: bacterial SSU rRNA
Rfam family: Bacterial small subunit ribosomal RNA
Source: RNAcentral